This 1284-nucleotide ribosomal RNA is filed under the name metagenome. RNAcentral describes it as "bacterial SSU rRNA". It matches the Rfam family "Bacterial small subunit ribosomal RNA", at positions 243 to 1520 of the family's 1533-position model. The record is from RNAcentral.
AGUUUGUUGGUGGGGUAAAGGCCUACCAAGACUACGAUGGUUAGCUGGUCUGAGAGGAUGAUCAGCCACACUGGAACUGGUACACGGUCCAGACUCCUACGGGAGGCAGCAGUGGGGAAUUUUGCGCAAUGGGGGCAACCCUGACGCAGCAACGCCGCGUGAGUGAAGAAGGCCUUUGGGUCGUAAAGCUCUGUCGACAGGGAAGAAAUUAUUAUCAUCCAAUAGGUGGUAGUAUUGACGGUACCUGUAGAGGAAGCACCGGCUAACUCCGUGCCAGCAGCCGCGGUAAUACGGGGGGUGCAAGCGUUAUUCGGAAUUAUUGGGCGUAAAGGGCGCGUAGGCGGUCUUGUCGGUCAGAUGUGAAAGCCCGGGGCUCAACCCUGGAAGUGCAUUUGAAACAGCAAGACUUGAGUACGGGAGAGGAAAGCGGAAUUCCUGGUGUAGAGGUGAAAUUCGUAGAUAUCAGGAGGAACACCGAUGGCGAAGGCAGCUUUCUGGACCGAUACUGACGCUGAGGCGCGAAGGCGUGGGUAGCGAACAGGAUUAGAUACCCUGGUAGUCCACGCAGUAAACGAUGUUCACUAGGUGUAGCGGGUAUUAAAAUCUGCUGUGCCCAAGCUAACGCAUUAAGUGAACCGCCUGGGGAGUACGGUCGCAAGACUAAAACUCAAAGGAAUUGACGGGCCCGCACAAGCGGUGGAGCAUGUGGUUUAAUUCGACAACGCGAAGAACCUUACCUGGGUUUGACAUCCUGUGAAUCUUCAAGAGAUUGAGGAGUGCCUUCGGGAACACAGUGACAGGUGCUGCAUGGCUGUCGUCAGCUCGUGUCGUGAGAUGUUUGGUUAAGUCCAGCAACGAGCGCAACCCUUAUCUUUAGUUGCCAGCGCGUAAUGGCGGGAACUCUAGAGAGACUGCCCGGGUUAACCGGGAGGAAGGCGGGGAUGACGUCAAGUCCUCAUGGCCCUUAUAUCCAGGGCUACACACGUGCUACAAUGGUAAGUACAGAGGGCAGCAAGCCGGCGACGGUGAGCGAAUCCCUAAAGCUUAUCUCAGUCCGGAUUGGAGUCUGCAACUCGACUCCAUGAAGUUGGAAUCGCUAGUAAUCGCGGAUCAGCAUGCCGCGGUGAAUAUGUUCCCGGGCCUUGUACACACCGCCCGUCACACCAUGAGAGUUGAUUAUACCCGACGUCGUUGGGCUAACUAUUCGUAGAAGCAGACGCCUAAGGUGUGGUUGAUAAUUGGGGUGAAGUCGUAACAAGGUAGCCGUUGAGGAAUCAGCGGCUG